GAUGAACGCUGGCGGUGUGCCUAAUACAUGCAAGUCGAGCGAACACAUGAUAAGAUUGCUCUUCUGCCGUUAGCGGCUGACGGGUGAGUAACACGUGGAUCAGCUACCUAUUAGUCUGGGGUAAUUUCGGGAAACCGGAGACACUACCAGCUCAUACGUCGAACGGGUUGAUUCAAUAGUGCUUGACGGUUUUGCUGUCUCUUUGAGCUGGUUCCGCGUCGCAUUAGCUAGUUGGUAAGGUAACGGCCUACCAAGGCAACGAUGCGUAGCUGACCUGAGAGGAUGAUCGGCCACACUGGAACUGAGACACGGUCCAGACUCCUACGGGAGGCAGCAGUAGGGAAUCUUCCACAAUGGGCGAAAGCCUGACGGAGCAACACCGCGUGAGUGAUGAAGGUCUUCGGAUCGUAAAACUCUGUUAUUAGGGAAGAACAAAUGUAUAAUUAACUAUGCACGUCUUGACGGUACCUAAUCAGAAAGCCACGGCUAACUACGUG
This 497-nucleotide ribosomal RNA is filed under the name uncultured bacterium. Its description in RNAcentral is "partial 16S ribosomal RNA". It matches the Rfam family "Bacterial small subunit ribosomal RNA", at positions 28 to 507 of the family's 1533-position model. The record is from RNAcentral.